CCUACGGGUGGCAGCAGUAGGGAAUCUUUCACAAUGGGCGAAAGCCUGAUGGAGCAACGCCGCGUGCAGGAUGAAGGCCCUCGGGUUGUAAACUGCUUUUAUAAGCGAGAAAUAUGAUGGUAACUUAUGAAUAAGGAUCGGCUAACUACGUGCCAGCAGCCGCGGUCAUACGUAGGAUCCGAGCAUUAUCCGGAGUGACUGGGUGUAAAGAGUUGCGUAGGUGGGAUAAUAAGUAGCUAGUGAAAUCUGGUGGCUCAACCAUUCAGACUAUUAGCUAAACUGUUAAGCUCGAGACCGUUAGGAGUAACUGGAAUGUCUAGUGUAGGAGUGAAAUCCGUAGAUAUUAGAAAGAACACCAAUAGCGUAGGCAGGUUGCUGGGACGGUUCUGACACUAAGGCACGAAAGCGUAGGGAGCAAACGGGAUUAGAUACCCUGGUAGUC
RNAcentral lists this ribosomal RNA (442 nucleotides) under uncultured bacterium. RNAcentral describes it as "partial 16S ribosomal RNA". It matches the Rfam family "Bacterial small subunit ribosomal RNA", at positions 338 to 795 of the family's 1533-position model. The record is from RNAcentral.